This 460-nucleotide ribosomal RNA is filed under the name uncultured bacterium. RNAcentral's name for it is "partial 16S ribosomal RNA". It matches the Rfam family "Bacterial small subunit ribosomal RNA", at positions 338 to 795 of the family's 1533-position model. The record is from RNAcentral.
CCUACGGGUGGCUGCAGUGAGGAAUAUUGGUCAUUGGACGAGAGACUGAACCAGCCAAGCAGCGUGAAGGAUGACUGUACUAUGGGUCGUAAACUUCUUUUAUCAAGGAAUAAAAAGUGGCACGUGUCCCCUGUUGCGUGUACUUUAUGAAUAAGCAUCGGCUAACUCCGUGCCAGCAGCCGCGGUAAUACGGAGGAUCCGAGCGUUAUCCGGAUUUAUUGGGUUUAAAGGGGGCGUAGAUGGGUUGUUAAGUCAGUUGUGAAAGUUUGCGGCUCAACCGUAGAAUUGCAUUUGAUACUGGCAGUCUUGAGUAGAGGAGAGGGAAGCGGAAUGCGUGGUGUAGCGGUGAAAUGCUUAGAUAUCACGAAGAACCCCGAUUGCGAAGGCAGCUUACUAAACUGUGACUGACAUUGAUGCUCGAAAGUGUGGGUAUCAAACAGGAUUAGAUACCCUGGUAGUC